This 253-nucleotide ribosomal RNA is filed under the name uncultured bacterium. RNAcentral describes it as "partial 16S ribosomal RNA". It matches the Rfam family "Bacterial small subunit ribosomal RNA", at positions 524 to 776 of the family's 1533-position model. The record is from RNAcentral.
UACGUAGGGUGCAAGCGUUAUCCGGAAUUAUUGGGCGUAAAGAGCUCGUAGGCGGUUUGUCGCGUCUGCUGUGAAAACUGGGGGCUCAACCCCCAGCCUGCAGUGGGUACGGGCAGACUAGAGUGCGGUAGGGGAGAUUGGAAUUCCUGGUGUAGCGGUGGAAUGCGCAGAUAUCAGGAGGAACACCGAUGGCGAAGGCGGUUCUCUGGGCCUUACCUGACGCUGAGGAGCGAAAGCGUGGGGAGCGAACAGG